GGAACAAGUGUAAACACAUUCAAUUCACUCCCAAAACCUCUAAUUCAAUCCUCUUCUUGACUCCAUUAUUCACAAUUUUUUUUUUCAUUUUUCUGUAUUUAUUUUUUUCUUUUUUUUUUCAUCUUGUCUGUUUUCUUUUUUUCUCUAUGAAGAACACAAAUGUUUGAGACAAGAUAUAUAACAUAUUUACAAAACAAAAACAAGAAGAGGAACCAACUAGCC
Molecule: long non-coding RNA, 222 nt
Filed under: Vigna radiata
Lineage: Eukaryota; Viridiplantae; Streptophyta; Magnoliopsida; Fabales; Fabaceae
Description: long non-coding RNA (VRAD_LNC015808)
Source: RNAcentral